This 925-nucleotide non-coding RNA is filed under the name Phyllobates aurotaenia. RNAcentral's name for it is "partial 12S ribosomal RNA". The stretch from base 94 to 925 matches the Rfam family "Microsporidia small subunit ribosomal RNA". The record is from RNAcentral. Lineage: Eukaryota; Metazoa; Chordata; Amphibia; Anura; Dendrobatidae.
GUUUGGUCCUAGCCUUGGAGUCAAUUCUUAUUUAAUAUACACAUGCAAGUAUCCGCACCCCAGUGAGAAUGCCCUUAUUUCCCCUCUAGGGAACAGGAGCUGGUAUCAGGCCCAAAAAUUUGCCCAAAACACCUAGUCUCGCCACACCCUCAAGGGUCUUCAGCAGUGAUAAACAUUGAGCAUGAGCGAUAGCUUGACUCAGUUAAACUUAUUUAGAGCCGGCCAAUCUGGUGCCAGCCGCCGCGGUUACACCAUCGUGGCUCAAAUUGACCCCCCUUCGGCGUAAAGCGUGAUUAAAGUUCUCCAAACAACUGGAAUUAAACUAAAACUAAGCUGUGACACGCUUGUUUUUAAGAAAGCCAUAAACGAAAGUUAUUCCAAUUAAUUCAACUUGAACUCACGUCAUCUGAGAAACAAACUGGGAUUAGAUACCCCACUAUGCUCAGUCGUAAACUUUAACUUACUUCCUUCUCGCCAGGGAACUACGAGCUAAGCUUAAAACCCAAAGGACUUGACGGUACCCCAUAUCCCCCUAGAGGAGCCUGUCCUAUAAUCGAUAACCCCCGUUUAACCUCACCAUUUUUAGUUAUUCAGCCUGUAUACCUCCGUCGUCAGCUUACCCCGUGAGCGCUAGUGAGCCAAAUGUUUUUCCAACCACACGUCAGGUCAAGGUGCAACAAAUGAAAUGGGAAGAGAUGGGCUACACUUUCUAUAUUAGACUACACGAAAGACUUUAUGAAACCUAGUCAGAAGGCGGAUUUAGUAGUAAAAUGGAACUAGAGAGUCCUUUUUAACCUGGCACUGGGGUGUGUACACACCGCCCGUCACCCUCCUCAAUGCUAACAAACAGUUUUUAACACCAUUAAGCAACAUAGAAGAGGCAAGUCGUGAACAUGGUAAGUAUACCGGAAGGUGUACUUGGAAA